UUUUUUGUUUGAAAAACUUUGUGGGUUUUUCAUGGAUGGAGAUGCCCUAAUGGCCUUAACAAGUAUGGGUUAUGAAAAAAUAGUCGAUGAAUUAAUGAAAAAGCUGUGAGGGUAACGAGGUUAAAACAUUGUGAGUCAUUUUGUACCUAAUCCAAAGUACAAAGGGAUACAAAAAAAA
Molecule: small RNA, 178 nt
Filed under: Arabidopsis thaliana (thale cress)
Lineage: Eukaryota; Viridiplantae; Streptophyta; Magnoliopsida; Brassicales; Brassicaceae
Description: ATSL242660
Source: RNAcentral